ACCGUCGUAGUACAAUGGUUAGUAUCUCCGUUUCCCAAGCGGAGGAUGGGGGUUCGAUUCCCCCCGGCGGUA
This is a non-coding RNA of Cryphonectria parasitica EP155, 72 nucleotides long. NCBI's taxonomy places the organism in Eukaryota, Fungi, Ascomycota, Sordariomycetes, Diaporthales, Cryphonectriaceae. The record is from the annotation of a RefSeq genome assembly.